Molecule: long non-coding RNA, 8670 nt
Filed under: Salvia miltiorrhiza (redroot sage)
Lineage: Eukaryota; Viridiplantae; Streptophyta; Magnoliopsida; Lamiales; Lamiaceae
Description: long non-coding RNA (SMIL_LNC006814)
Source: RNAcentral
GGAACAAUUGGUCAUAUAGCUCCUGAGUACCUUGCUACUGGUAAGUGUUCGGUGAAAAUUGAUGUUUAUGGUUAUGGAAUGUUUCUUCUUGAGCUCAUCACAGCACAGAGAGCUUUUGAUCCUGCUCGUCUUGCCAAUGAUGAUGACGUGAUGUUACUAGAUUGGGUGAGUCUUGAUCUUAACUCAUCUACUCUCUUAAAAAUGCAGAUGUAAGGCAUUGCAAAUCAUUUAAAUAGUUGGAAGCUUAAAUACUUUGUGAUAAGAGAUAUUUUGAUCAUUGUAAUAUAAUCUUGUGAUGAUGAGUCUUGGCAAUAUUUGCAUUUGAAAUUUUGAAGUAGCAAUUUCAGAAAUAUAAAGUUCUUGACGCAUUUUUCAGUUCCAUCCAUUAUUAUUUUUAUUAUUUGGUUUCUUGGAAUUUUAUAAUUUUACCUCAGGUAAAUCAAAUUUUCAAGGAGAGAGAAUGGAAAGUGAUUGUCGAUUCAGAACUUCAAGGUGAUUUCGUAGAUGAAGAAGCCGAGGAGUUGUUGCAAAUUGCUCUGAUCUGCACACAAACUGAUCCAGAACAACGUCCGAUGAUGUUGGAAGUUGUGAGGAUGUUAGAAGUUGCAUAUGAGUUGGCUGAGAUGGAGGCAGAGUGGUUCAUGGAUAAUUUCGAAGGAAAUACUUUGGAACGUCAUUAUGUUACGUAGGAUUUUUGCUCUAGGAUAAACUACAGGCAGCAACAGAGGAUUUUAGCGACAAAAUUAUCAGUGAAGAUAGUUUUAAUAUUAUCUAUAAAGGCUUAUUUAGAUGGCUCUCCUGUCGCAGUUUAAAAGAUACAAUUCUCAAAGCCUAGAAUAUUAUUUCGCAAAAGAAUUAGAGAUUGGCACAACUUGUUUCCAUCCAAAUCUAGUCCACGUGAUUGGAUUUUGCCGGACUCCAGAAGAACGACUGCUUGUUUUCCGGUUGAUGGUCAAUGGAAGUGUCGAAUCAUGGUUAAGGGGUAAGCUUGACCAAGUGUUAUUCAAUUUCUCUUCUACAUAUGUAUAGGUAUGAUUUUACUGUGAUCUCUUGAGAUAUAUUGCAUCUUCUAUUUGCUAUAUUGUACCAAAAAGUUCAUUAUCUUUGACCAGAUUUUGGUUUUAGACACGACUUGAAAACGUUUCAAUGAUGACACCACUUUUUUGAUUUGUAGCAAAAUAGUCGACCUUACGUUUCGAUAGUGAGGCCAUUAUUGAAACGUUUAAUGAGUUGUAAUCUAAAACAUAAAAAUUGGGUCAAAGUUGGUGAAUAUUUGGGAAAUUAACCCUUAUUUUAGUAGGUUCUGGUUGGUUAACUUAUUCUUUAUAAAGUUUAUAGGGAUGCAUGAUGCAAGGUAAUUACUUGUGUACGAGAAAUGUCCCGUUUUCUUAAUAUUGUGCAUGAGAACCUCAUUCUCCUUUCUGCAAGUUGCAACUCUUGCUUUAGCUUGCCUGAUAAUGUAUAUUUAGCACAAUCAUAAUAUCCUCUCUCACGCAGCACAUCAAUGUUUCCCACUUUCCUAAGAUUAGGAAAUUAACAUUGCAUGUUGACAUAUUUUGCAGAGAGCAGAUCGGUUUAGUGGAUUUAUUGUUUUCAAUUUUUCUGUUGCAUAGACAUAAGUUUCUGAAUUUACUAUAUGUAGCAGGGAGACGAUGAAUCACGGCCUCCUCUCACUUGGCAAGAAGAAAAGGAAUAGCACUUGGUGCAGCAAGGGGUCUAGCUUAUUUACAUGAUAAAUGUGAAAUGAAAAUCAUUCAUUGCGAUGUCAAAGCUGCAAAUAUAUUGUUAGAUGAAAACUUUGAAGCAGUCGUUGCUGACUUGAAGUCAGCCAAGUUCAUGGACCACAGCAUGACUCAUAUUACCACAACCGUGACAGGAACAAUUGGUCAUAUGGCUCCCGAGUACCUCGCCAGUGGUAGGUGUUCGGAUAAAAACUGAUGUUUUUGGUUAUGGAGCAUUUCUUCUUGAGCUCAUCACAGGGCACAGAACUGCCGAUCUUCUUGAUGUAGCCGAUGAGGAAGAUAGGCUGUAGUGCUUAUGGGUAAGAUCAACUUGCCUAUUAAGUUUAUUCUAUGACUACCAAGACAUUGCUAGUUCGUAAGUCCCCUAUUUUGCAGUUCUAGUUUGCCCAUCUCAUACAUCUAAUCUCAGGUAAAAAAGAAUUACAAAGAGGGAAGAUGGAAAUUGAUGGUUGACAAAGAUAGUGGUGGAGGUGAUUUCAUGGACGAAGUGGUGGUGGAUCAGCUGGUGAAAAUAGCUGUUCUCUGCACACAAUAUGAUCCGGACAGACGUCCGAGGAUGUCGCGUGUUGUGAGUAUAUUAAAAUAUGGUUGUGGUGUGGCUGAGUGGUCCGAUGAGCGGUUUGAAAAAGAGGUCGGAGAAGAAGAGUAUGAUGGCAGCUGUUCUCCUCGGAUAUCAGAAAAACUAUCUGAGCCAAGAUGAUCAUGCAAUAUUUCAAGAAUUAGAGAUUGGCAGAACUUGUUUCCAUCCAAAUCUAGUGCAUGUGAUUGGAUUUUGCGAGACUCCAGAAGAACGACCGCUUGUUUUCCGGUUGAUGGUCAAUGGAAGUGUCGAAUCAUGGUUAAGGGGUAAGCUUGACCGAAUGUUAUUCAAUUGCUCUUCUACAUAUGUAUAGGUAUCAUGAUUUUACUGUGAUCUCUUGAGAUAUGUUGCAUCUUCUAUUUACUAUUUUGUACCAAGAAGUUCAUCAGCUUUUACUAGAUUUUGGAUUUGGGGGGUGUAUUCGUUGUAGAAUUUGAUGGAUUUAUAUGGAUUUUAAAAGUCUGGGUGUAUUCGUUCAAGACUUUUAAAAGUCUGCAGAAAUCUGGGUGUAUUCGUUCAAAACUUUUAAAAGUCCAUAUAAAUCUGGGUGUAUUCGUUCAAGAUUUUUUAAAAUCCAUACAAAUUUAGGUGUAUUCGUUAUUCCAUUGACUUAAAAUCCGGAAUGACUUUCAUGGAUUUCAUCCAAAAAAUACACACGACAAAAUCCGGCCAAGAACCACGAGAAUUGAAAUCCAUGAAGUUUUAAGCGAGCGCUGAGUUCCAGCUCCCGCGGGGGUGUCCAGCGAGCGCUGGGUGUGCGCGGGCGCUGGGUUCCCAGCGGCCGCUGGGUUGCCGCGGUCGCUGGGUCCAGGCAGCCCAGCCACCCACGCUUUUUAUACUGCUCUUCGGUUUUUUUUUUCUCAUUACUCCAAAAAUAUACCACAGAAGCAGACUUUGGUUUUUCAGCGCUCGCUGGAACUCAGCGGUCGCUGGGUUUCCAGCGGUUGCUGGGACUCCGUGGGCGUUGGGUCUCUUCUAGCGGGCGCUGAUUUCAUGGAAUUCAAUUCCAAAAUUAUCCCGUAAAGUCUUCGAAAAUCAAUGAAAAUCGGGGUGAAAUCCAACCACGAAUUCUUUGAAAGUCGUCUGAAAUCUAUGUGAAUUCCAUGGAAUUUAAAUUCCAUGUACUUUUUAAAGUCUGUGGAAAUCCACAACGAAUACACCCCCUUAGACACGAGUCCACGACUUUAAAAUGUUUCAAUAAUGACACCACUCUUUGGAUUUGUAGCAACAUAGUCGACCUCACGUUUCAAUAGUGAGGCCAUUAUUGAAACGUUUAAUGAGUCAUAUCUAAACCUAAAGUUGGGUAAAAGUUCAUGAAUAUUGGGGCAAUUGUGUACGAGAAAUGUACCUUUUUCUUAAUAUUGUGCAUGAGAACCUCAUUUCUCCUUUUUGCAAGUUGCAACUCUUGCUUUAGUUUGCCUGAUAAGUGAUAAUAUAUAUUUAGCACAAUUACUUAUCCAAUUAGGAGAUUUACACAACCUUCAUCUCCAUGUUUAUCAUAUUUUCCUCCCACACUAGUAUAAAUAGGGACUCAAUUCCUACUAUAUAAAAAAAAGAGACACGCAUACAUAGCCUAAGGUAAAAUUUUUAUUCCUUUUUACCAUCAAAGUCAGAAGGGUUUUUGUUGGCUAAUUGGUUUGACGUUGAAGUUAAAGGCAAAUAGUUAUUUAGGACUUUCAUCCGUCAAGAUAAUCCAAAGCGAGUUUAAGGUGGGGAAUUAUAUGCUCGUUGUUAUAUCCAUGCAUGUUUUUAUGUGUUUUAAAUUCAUGUUUGAUUAUAUUUGCUCAAUUACAUGUCCAAAUACAUGUUCAGUUUAUCAUGUUCAAAUACAUGAUUAGAGAUUUUGUUACAUGUCCAUAUACAUGUUCAGUUUAUCAUGUCUGUUUGCCACUCAGAUUUCUGUAUAUGUGCAUGACAAUGUGAUUUAUUAACAUGCUUUAGAGUAUGUAGAUAUUUGCCUUGUUCCUCACUGAGUAUAUUUUCAACAUGAUCACUCUAUUUUCCUUUCAGUUUUGCAGUUUCUGGAGUCCAAGCAGUCCCGGGAGCCGAGAAUGACUAGUACGAAUAGUUUAUUUUCUUUGUUAUAUCUUUUUUAGUUCAAUGAAAUUUAUGAUAAAUUUAAAUUCAGACCACUUAGUUAGAUUUCCUAUGUUAUGGUUUUUUUUUUAGAAAUUGUUUCAAUUUAAAAUAUUUAUUUAAUGGACAUGGCAAUAGAUUUGUUUAAGUUUGUCAAAUUGGUUUUAAUUUGCUAAACUUUUAUAGUCAAGUUUGGUUAUUUAUUUAAUUUUAGUGUGUUAAAAAUUAGAGUGUAACAUAUCAUCUCUCACGCAGCACAUCAAUGUUUCCCACUUAUCCUAAGAUUAGGCAAUUAACAUCGCAUGUUGAGAUAUUUUGCAGAGAGCAGAUCGCUUUAGUGGAUUUAUUGUUUUCAAUUUUUCUGUUGCAUAGACAUAAGUCUCACUUGGCAGAGAUGAAAAAGGAUAGCACUUGGUGCGGCAAGGGGUCUAGCUUAUUUGCAUGAAAAAUGUGGAAAGAAAAUCAUUCAUCGCGAUGUCAAAGCUGCAAAUAUAUUGUUAGAUGACAACUUUGAAGCAGUCGUUGCUGACUUCAAGUCAGCCACGUUCAUGGACCACAGCACGACUCAUAUUACCACAACCGUGGCGGGAACAAUUGGUCAUAUAGCUCCCGAGUACCUUGCCAGUGGUAGGUGUUCGGAUAAAACUGAUGUUUUUGGUUAUGGAGAAUUUCUUCUUGAGCUCAUCACAGGGCACAGAACUGUCGAACUUCUUGAAGUAGCCGAUGAGGAAGAUAGGAUGUGUGCUGAUUGGGUGAGAUCAACUUGCCUUUUAAGUUUUAUUCUAUGUCUACCUGAGAGUUUGCUAGUUGUAAGUCAUUAUAAAUCUAAUCUCAGGUAAAAAAGAAUUACGAAGAGGGAAGAUGGAAAUCGAUGGUUGAGAAAGAUAGUGGUGGAGGUGAUUUCAUGGACGCAGUGGUGGUGAAGCAGCUGGUGAAAAUAGCUGUUCUCUGCACACAAUACGAUCCCGACAGACGUCCGAGGAUGUCGCAUGUUGUGAGUAUGCUAAAAUGUGGUUGUGGUGUGGCUGAGAGGUCCGACCAGAGGUUCAAAGAAGUGGUCGGAGAAGAAGAGUAUGAUGGCAGCUGUUCUCCUCUGAUAUCAGAAGAACUAUCUGACCCAAGAUGAUCAUGCAAUAUUUCAAGAAUUCAUUGCAAGAAAGUUCACCAUGCUGUGACCUGAUUUUGUUUUGGGACACACUUUAUAAGUUACUUCAAUAGUGAAACUACUUUUCGAUUUGUAGCAAAAUAGGCAGGCUCAAGAUUUUCCAACGAUUGAAAAAUGGACUUAGGCAUGAUUGUUUUCAACGCCAGUGGGAAAUUUGAAGCGUGAAAGAAAAUGCCAAGUCAUAUGUUUCAAUCAUCGGAAAAUUUUGAACUUGCCUAUUAUGUUACAAAUUGAAAAAUUAUGUUAUUAUUGAAAUAAUUUUUAAAAUAAUUGUAAUUUAUCAUCGCAAAAUAUUACUGUCUUUAUCCGUUUUACACGAUUAUUUAGAAGUAAAUAUCUUAUUGUAUAUAAAAUUUCUUUAUCUAUUUAUUAGUGUAAAUAAGUGAUCCUGAUUUUUGCUGAAAAUUAACUAAGCGAAAUUCGAUCAGAUAGCUCGAAAAAAAAUGCAGACGGAUCGAAAGGAGUAAUUAUAUAGCAAUGAUAUAAGCGAAAAUCACUAGUAAUCGUAGUCACUCCUCUCGUUGACUAGACUUUUGAACGCGCUUUUCUAACUCUUUUCCACUCAACUAAAAUUCCGCGAAGUUUUAAAUGCAAGGGAAAGAGAAUAACCAUUUCAUCACUCUCUCCCACAUAUUUUGCCUCUCUUUAGCAGAAUCCCAUGCAAUAAUUUAGUUGAAAACUGAAGAGAGAUGAUGUCGUCGUCGCGAGAUAAUUGGGAGAGGCUGGUGGCGGCGGUGUUGAAGAGAGAUGAGAUACGCCAACUCUGCCACCAAAACUCCAUCUCCACCACGUCAUCCGAUAGUCCGAGAACCUCUACUUCCAGUGGAGAUCUUUCCAGGUGAUUUUGUGUUCAUCUCAAUUUCGGGCGUAAAUUACAGCAUCAGUGACGUUUCUAAUAAAAAAAUUCCUCGACUGCUAUGGAAAUUUGAGAAUAUUUCAGAAUUCUGAGCAACAUAUUGAAGCGGAUACCCGUAUCACCACCGCGUCAACCGCCGCUUAUUAGCGCUUCUGGCCUCGAAGGUUCGUCUCCAUUUACAUGUUACAAGUCGUUGGCGGGAUUAGAGUAUAUGAUCUUGCAAUUGCUAUCAUGUUGUCAUUGUAUAAUUGGGGAAAAUUGAAUUAGAGUCUUUGUGCUUUGCGGAACUGGAUAAAACAAGGAAGGCGUUUGGUUUGGCUUAAGCUUUGUUUAAAUUUGUAUAUUUAUAUGACUUUAGAAAUAAAUUACAGAUGAUGGAGCUUCGGAAAUGUUAGUAAUGAUAAAUUUGUAACUAUGUUAUAGCAAAAGAAACUGUUUUACUGUCUUAAUUGUUAUUUAAUAUACAAUCUUUUAAAAUUUAUAGGGUAUUCGACAUCUUAGGAGCUUAUAGUUUCAUUUAAGAACCAAUCCCUUUUCUCCUCACACCAACAUUUUGAAGUAGUGUCUUUUUCUUAUACAAGAAUACAACAUAAAUUACAAUAAUAAACAGAUCGGUGUCCAGUCAGAUCAAUAUAAUCUUUGAAAAAAUCCCAGAUAACUUAGGUCGAUCAAUCUACACUCACAGUAGAAAUCAGAUUUGUGAGAUCAACCUCUCAUGGGCCAGUUUGAACUGGUACUUAAAGAGUUUUCAUUAACUCUGGUCUUUUGAUUAAUGUUUAAUUCUUAGCUAGAUAGUAUGGAAUUGCAGCUAGGGAAAAUACUUCUGGACCUAUUACAAGGAAGCUCUUUUCUGCUUCGCUUUGGAGGAGGAAACCGAAGGACUACAAUCUGGGCCGAGGUUUGGUUGGCAUUCCUGGUUAGUUGCAAAAUGGCUUGAAAUAAACUUUGUAUACGUAUUGCAUAUAGCUAUAUGAACAGAGUAACUUAUUUCCUUCAACUGUUGAUGAAGAGGAUCAUUUUGGACUUGAGAGCUUUUCCCUACACGAGCUACUUGUUGCGACAGACAAUUUUAGCAACAUCAAUUUCCUUGGACAUGGUGGAUUUGGUAAAGUGUAUAAAGGUCGACUAGCAGAUGGCUCUCUAGUACAAGUUACAAGACUACAACGACAAUAAAUUGAGAUAAAUUUGGAAAUUAUAAGCAUUGCUGCACAUUGUAAUGUACUUCGUGCUCGUGGAUUUUGCUUUACGCAAAAAGAGAAGCUGCUCGUUUAUCCUUGCAUGGUUAAUAAAAGUGUGGCGUUCUGGUUAAGAGGUAAUCUCAAUCAAAUAUUCAUAUUCUUUCGUUGGUCUAUUUUUGUUCGAUAACCAUAUUAGGCUUCGUGAAGAACUCAGGGUUGCAGUUUUACAGACUGUUGGAAUAGAUUUGUAGCUUCUUUUAAACCCCUUUUUAAGUCAUCUAGAGGGAAAGUAACCAUAAUUAGUAAUUGGGGGCAAGUUUGUACAUACAAUUUAGUUGUGAGAAGUUAGUUUUGUUUGUUAUAUCGUAAAGUCUGUGUUUAUCAUAACAGUAUCAAAUAAACAAAUUUAAAGACAGCCACAAGGAAAGAAACCAGAAUUAGGAAUUAGGCAAGAACCCCAUACAACUUAGCCAACACACUCACACACAGUUUUGUUUGUUAUAUUAUGUAAAGUCUUUGUGUUUAUUAUAUUUUGUAAUUGAUUUGGAAUUUUGUUAUGGAUACAUUAUAUUUCUAAUAAACCUACCGACUCCAGAAAGACAUGGGCCACUGCCUCCCCUUGACUGGCCAACAAGGAAACAGAUAUCGCUUGGGGCUGCAAAGGGUCUAGCUUACUUGCAUUAUGAAUGCCCCAGGAAAAUCAUUCAUCGUGAUGUUAAAGCUGCAAAUAUAUUGUUGGAUGAGAACUUUGAAGCAGUUAUUGCUGACUUAACUUUGGGCGAAUUUGUCGAUCGUUGCGAUAGUGAUAUUGCUUCCAGUAAGAGGAACAAUUGGUCAUGUAGCUCCUGAGUACCUUGCUACUGGUAAGUGUUCGGUGAAAAAUGAUGUUUAUGGUUAUGGAAUGUUUCUUCUUGAGCUCAUCACAGCACAGAGAGCUUUUGAUCCUGCUCGUCUUGCCAAUGAUGAUGACGUGAUGUUACUAGAUUGGGUGAGUCUUGAUCUUAACUCAUCUACUCUCUUAAAAAUGCAGAUGUAAGGCAUUGCAAAUCAUUUAAAUAGUUGGAAGCUUAAAU